Mus musculus (house mouse) is the source of this 565-nucleotide long non-coding RNA. RefSeq annotates it as DNA segment, Chr 14, ERATO Doi 670, expressed. The transcript has 3 exons. The record is from RefSeq and is marked validated. NCBI's taxonomy places the organism in Eukaryota, Metazoa, Chordata, Mammalia, Rodentia, Muridae.
CUGGGCCACAGGCCUGAGAAUGGCUACCACAAGCUGAGUGAGCUUCCCAUUGAAAUGACUAAGUUCUCCCAGAUGCCACAGCAGAAACAAAUCCAGACCCAAGGACCCUGCUCCAGGAUUUGCAACAACAAUUCCCUAAGAAACAGGCUGAGAGAAGUCCUCCUGGCAUGGCACCACCACCCACCAGUUCUGGUCCAAACUACAGUCCAUUCUAGGGAUGGAGACAUCUUUCCAGGUCCUUCUGCAGUGCCUCAUCAUUCAUUUUGACCCAGGGACCAACAUUAAGAAGUUUCAGAAAAAUGGAUUGACACCUGCCUGGAAAAGACUUCAUGCCGUCAUCCUGACAACACCAGAUGCAAUCAAGGUGGAGGGAUAUCUGCCUGGAUUCACCACUCCUUUGCCAAACCUGCUCCAAACCAGGACCAGAAAUGGACUGUCUCAUCUGGACCAGAUCUAUUCAGGCUAAGACUCUCUCACAGUAGAGCACAUGAUUAGUUAUACACAGCUCUUCCCUUUUCUGCCUCUUGUAAUGAUAGUCUCUCAGUUACUCUUAACUCAGAAACUU